Long non-coding RNA from Ipomoea nil (Japanese morning glory), 792 nucleotides. RefSeq lists it as uncharacterized. The record is from RefSeq and is a predicted model, not a curated record. The transcript is spliced from 3 exons. NCBI's taxonomy places the organism in Eukaryota, Viridiplantae, Streptophyta, Magnoliopsida, Solanales, Convolvulaceae.
GCGAGAUUCCGGUGGCGCAUCCCAUCACUGCUAUUGAGAUCUCAAAUGUUGUCGGCAAUUCCAUCAAAUCCAAGAUCUCGAAAUUGACUCAGUUUUCAUUCUGUUCUUCGCAUUGUAUUCUAGGAAGAGAUAGCAGGGGUGUAUUAAUGAAUGAUUACGGAAUGAUUACGGUGUUUUGCUCUCUGAUUCUCUUGAGAUUCGCGCUGCGAUGAAGAUGAUUGGGUGCAAAUCUCCGUUUCCUGGAGGCGUUUUUGGGGAAGAAGAAAAACAAAAGGUGAUUUCUCUCGAUGGUGGUCUUCUUCUGGUACUGUAUAUUUGUACCAGUAUGUAUUGAAAUUUCUGGAUGUAGCGGUAAUUUCUGGUCCAAAAACUUCGCAAUUCUCAUCGAUUAAACAGCAGCAAUCCUGCAUAAAUCGCGAUCAUUUCCAAGUUCCUCUGAAACGCAGAUUACAAUGCUGAAAGCAGAGCCAGAGAGACGGGUAGGUUUUCCUAUGUUUGAGAGUGCGUGUAUCCGCUAAAGCUUUCUCUCUCUAAAUUUUCCGACGAAUUGUUAAAGUGAGGCGUUAAUGUGUAAUUUUCAUCAAGCUUCAUGUAAUGGUGUGUAGUUUGCAGACAUUAAGGUUUCCAGCUUCCAAUAAUGGUGUGAAUGAGCCGCCAGAUUGGGCAUCAAGUGAGUCAGUGUUGAGUUUUGAUUAUCGUCUUCUCGGACUUCGAGAUGAAGAUUGUUUGGUUUGGACAAGGGUUCUUGCUGUCAAGAAGUAAUUUCCACCUCACCAUACACUUUUAUUCUAA